RNAcentral lists this long non-coding RNA (60 nucleotides) under Sitophilus oryzae (rice weevil). RNAcentral describes it as "uncharacterized LOC115888414". The record is from RNAcentral. Lineage: Eukaryota; Metazoa; Arthropoda; Insecta; Coleoptera; Curculionidae.
CUAUAUUAAAAAAAAAAUUAUUUCCUAAUUACUCGGUUAUUUUUAAACCUAUGAUUGUAA